Molecule: transfer RNA, 84 nt
Filed under: Patescibacteria group bacterium
Lineage: Bacteria
Description: tRNA-Leu
Rfam family: tRNA
About the family: Transfer RNA (tRNA) molecules are approximately 80 nucleotides in length. Their secondary structure includes four short double-helical elements and three loops (D, anti-codon, and T loops).
Source: RNAcentral
GCCGUGGUGGCGGAACUGGCAGACGCGUACGUCUCAGAAGCGUAUGAGUGUAAACUCGUGGAGGUUCAAGUCCUCUCCGCGGCA